Molecule: ribosomal RNA, 251 nt
Filed under: uncultured bacterium
Lineage: Bacteria
Description: partial 16S ribosomal RNA
Rfam family: Bacterial small subunit ribosomal RNA
Source: RNAcentral
UACGAAGGGGGCUAGCGUUGCUCGGAAUUACUGGGCGUAAAGCGCACGUAGGCGGCUUCUUAAGUCGGUGGUGAAAUCCUGGAGCUCAACUCCAGAACUGCCUCGAUACUGGGAGCUCGAGUCCGGGAGAGGUGAGUGGAACUGCGAGUGUAGAGGUGAAAUUCGUAGAUAUUCGCAAGAACACCAGUGGCGAAGGCGGCUCACUGGCCCGGUACUGACGCUGAGGUGCGAAAGCGUGGGGAGCAAACAGG